RNAcentral lists this ribosomal RNA (253 nucleotides) under uncultured bacterium. RNAcentral's name for it is "partial 16S ribosomal RNA". It matches the Rfam family "Bacterial small subunit ribosomal RNA", at positions 524 to 776 of the family's 1533-position model. The record is from RNAcentral.
UACAGAGGGUGCAAGCGUUAAUCGGAAUUACUGGGCGUAAAGCGUGCGUAGACGGUCAUGUAAGUCGGGUGUGAAAGCCCCGGGCUCAACCUGGGAAUUGCAUUCGAGACUGCAUGGCUAGGGUGCGGAAGAGGGAAGCGGAAUUUCCGGUGUAGCGGUGAAAUGCGUAGAUAUCGGAAGGAACACCAGUGGCGAAAGCGGCUUCCUGGUCCAGCACCGACGUUCAGGCACGAAAGCGUGGGUAGCAAACAGG